CCGAGCCGGGUAAACUGUGAAAUGCCAGGACAGGAAGGUGGCUGCACCCUGUGGGAGGCAGGGCUCCUCUCUGACGUGGUGGCAGAGCAGCCGUGCUCCUGCUGGGCUGGCCACUACCGCGUUUCCCUCGGCCCUCGGCCCGUGGAGGCCAUGCUCGGCUGACGCUGAAGGUGAGUCAGGCACGGUGGCGACGGGAGUGCAGGGAUGCACGCUCGUGAUAGAGGCCUAGGCAUUGAGUGGGCUGUGGUACUGGCUCGGUGCUGGACCAGGAGGAGACAUGCCCCUCGCAGCUCAUCAGCAUCGGCUGUGGGGCGGCAGAAAGGAUUUAGUGAGACCCCAGCACGCUGCAGGGCGGGACUGCUGGCGGAGGGACCGGGUCAGACCCUGACUCCUCCCAGCCUGAGCCGACCAAAAAUGCAGGUAUUUUGUGCACAACCUUGGCAGGGGACAGGAGCAGGGCGGCCAACUACAGCCCACAGCCCCGCUGCCCAUCUGGUUCCUCCAGCUGCUUCCUGCGGCCGGGUCUGGGUCGGGGGGUGGCGAGGGCUGGCUGCCCUGAUACCCUGGUGCUGCCCGGGACUAGGAGGGGCACUGAGAGCCGGUGGGUGGGGGUGAACCUCUUCCUCCCCGUGGGGGCACUUGCAGGCAAGCCCCAGGCAGUGCUGGUCACCAGGGUCUCUGUGCUGGGACUUUCUGUGGCCCUGAUUUGAAGGCUGAGCCCUCCCCCACCCCCACCAUCCUAUCCCAAGGAACACAGAUCACCUAAGUUCAUUCUCACGCAUUCUCAUCAUGAACCCCAUUUACAGUUCAUCUGAUUGCUUCAGAGGCAACCAGGUCAGGGAGGCAGGGGUCAGCGGCUGGGAGGUCAGAGGUGACCAGGGAGUCAGCAUCCUGACCCAGGGCUGGCACCAUCCCUUCUGGUGUUGCUUUGGGGUGAGUGGCACAACUUGGUGCAACGAGCUGGAAUUCUGGCCUCAGACUGCCCACGUCCGAGUCCCGGUUCUGUCUGUGUCCUUGGACAGGUAGCUUACCCUCCCUCAGUUCCUCAUCUGGAAAGUGGGCAUGAUGACCAUCCCACCUCAGGAGAGUCUGUGGGAUUAACCGAGGUGACGUGGUACCUGGGCUUGUAAAUGGUGGCCCGAUCAUGGAGACAGGGUCGAGUGGGUUGGAGAACGGCUACCUUGGAGCCAGACCUGCGUUGCUGGCCUGCAGAGACCCCUUCCGGCUGGGGUCCUAGGGAGGCACAAGUCCGGCACAUAGCAGCACCUCUCUGGAGGUGACGGGGCUGCACCUCUGUCCCCACACUCGCAGCACCUGCCUGGAAGCUGCUGCUCCCUGGCCCCUCAGCCGCCCAAAUGGGUGCAUCUGGCACGGGGUGGUCUCAGCCCAUGAAUGCUGGGUCCUUGUGUCCCCGGACUAGUUCUUGCACUUUCUUUGCCUGGCCAGGCCUCGGUCAGGACCUGUUCCUGGGUGUAAGGGCCUGGCCUGGACACUGGAGCCCCACCGUCUGCCAGGAGACCUCCCUGGUCCUGGGUCGCCCUGCCCGUGCCCUCAUCCCUCCUGCUGGCUCCCUGCCUGCCUGCCCAGGAGCUUCCUCGUCUGCCCCCUGAGAGCCACUCUGCCUCCCAGCUCCCACCACACUCGGCCCUGCAGGCCCUGACCCUGACCCUCUGGGCAGAGGUUGUGGCCCAUCUUCAGUUACCAGGAGUGCAAGUGCCAGACUCUCACCCUCAGGAAUACGAGCCAUCCAGGCUGGGGACCAGAAGGAGUGGGAGGUGCGGAGGUGCGGCCAGGGGGCACUGGACAGAGCAGGUAGCCCUGGGACACGGCCAAGCCCAGAGAGGGUGGACCGUGGGGCGCUGCCGUGGCCACCUCCGUUCCUCAUGUGGAGAAUGUCCCCCCCAAGCUGACCCAGGCAGGGUGCUGACAGUCCUGUCAAUCCUGAGCUCUGUGGGUGUCAGCCCACCCAGGAAAGUGGUUGACUGGUCAACUGCCAGGCUGCCCCUCACCCCCCCACCCCUGGCACUGCACGAGCCAGUUCCUCCCGACGGAGGGCUUGGCGCCGGCAGAGCUGGUGACAAAGGCUGCUUUGUUCACCUGCAGAAGUAAACACUUCCCCUGGAUAUUUACUCCCGGGACUCGAGUGUAAUGUGGGGUGUAAGUUACUCUUGACAGGCGACUUGAUCCAGGCUACCGCUCUCUUGUACUAAUUUCCUGGAAGAAAAGAGUUCCCACUGACAGCUGGGUGUUCAUUAACCACCCCCUGGGCAGUCGGGGAGAGGCUGGGUGUGGCUGUCACCCGGACCCCAGGUGGUGUGCCCUGAGAACUCGAGUGCCCCGGGGGGCCACCCUCAGCCUCCCCUGAAGCACUAGCAGAACGCUGACUGGCUGACUGGGCAGUGAAACCAGAGGCCAGAGGCUCAGUGGAGCUGUUUCCUCUGUGAGAGCGAAAAAGCCUGCACUUCAGUAGUAGAGUCUGUGCUGAGUCCUGCCAUUGUUCACAGCAGCUGUAACCUGAGCCUGCAGGACAGGUGGGUCCUCUGUGAGCACCUCGCUGUCCCCACAGCAGUCCCUCUGCGGGACUCCUGGACACUUCAGGACACUGGCAGGUCUGCUGUGAUGUUCCCAAUCCACAGAUUUGGACCAAGGCACUGGAAGAUGUUACCAAGGAUGGGCAGCACAGCAGCGGUGUGGUGGCCAUGCGGCGACACCUGUGUGCUC
Manis javanica (Malayan pangolin) is the source of this 2721-nucleotide non-coding RNA. NCBI's taxonomy places the organism in Eukaryota, Metazoa, Chordata, Mammalia, Pholidota, Manidae. The record is from RefSeq and is a predicted model, not a curated record.